UGGCAAUUCCCUGGAGAAACUAGGGGUGAUUCUAUCAUAAAAAGGGGUGGGGGAGAGUAGAUCAGGCAGACACAAUCACUGGAGGAGGACAGUACAGGAGAUUUACAGGAAGAAGAUCUGUGAAGAGGUUUGGGAGGAUUAAGAAGGGAAAGCAAUCAGUCAUUUUUCUAAAGGCCUGUCUGCAGGGCUGGGACUGAGCACAGGCUGAAACCAAGGUUGGACAUCUCUCAGCCCUUUGCAAGCCCUCCAGGCCUAGCAGUCUCCAUCUGAUCCCAUAUUGGAAAUGGGCAUGGAAGAUGCCACACCUUCUCAAGCUUUCCCUAGGAAAAGGGGUGGGUGAACUGGCCUGAAGAAUCUGAGGAUGGAAGAAGGUCACCUUUGCUCUUCUCCUGGGUUCUGGAACCUUCCUAACCUGCUCUGCUCACCUGGAGCCCCAGCCCACUGUCACCCCUGCCCUCAUCUCCAGACUCUUCUUCCAGCAACUAGGCUUGCAAAGCAGGGAUGGAGGGAUGGAGCGCCAGCUUCUGUGUCAAGCAGAGCAGGCUGCACUCCCAGCGCCCCGGUGCCUCUGGCUCUUGAGGCUUGUUCCUCAUCUCUAGCUCCACAGAGUUGUCCUGAGGCUCACAAUGGGAAUACAUCAAUAAAUUACCUAUUGCAUUAAAAUGAGUUGUUAUUAUUAUCACAAUUGUUAUAGACACUUAAACCUGAAGGCAAAUAAAUGAUUUUUAGCUGCAAAA
This is a long non-coding RNA of Piliocolobus tephrosceles (Ugandan red Colobus), 737 nucleotides long. RefSeq lists it as uncharacterized. Lineage: Eukaryota; Metazoa; Chordata; Mammalia; Primates; Cercopithecidae. The transcript is spliced from 3 exons. The record is from RefSeq and is a predicted model, not a curated record.